Molecule: long non-coding RNA, 1433 nt
Organism: Vicia villosa (hairy vetch)
Lineage: Eukaryota; Viridiplantae; Streptophyta; Magnoliopsida; Fabales; Fabaceae
Exons: 5
Source: RefSeq, a predicted model, not a curated record
AAAAAGCUGGCACGCACAUAUCUCUCCUUUUUUUUUUCUAGUUUCUCUCUCUCAGUCUCUUUCCCUCUCUCGAUCCACCCUCAAAUCCGAUGCCACCGUUGCGUGUCGGUUCUCCUUCUUUGCAACUCGGUGCGCCACCGGUGUGUAUUGUUGCUCCACUGUUGUAGCUUGUUGGGAUUCUUCUUAUAGCAACACAGAUCUAUGAUAUGUUUGUUCCUUCAAGCCAUGCCAAUCGGGAUUUUCUUUGUCCCACGAUUUAGGUUAGAUUUGAAUUCCAUUCUUACUCAUAUAUCUUUUCUUUGAAAUUCUUUUAUUUGAAUUCGGUUUGGUGUUUAACAAUGCCAAAACCCUAGGUUUCUUAAUUUCCCUCAUGAAGAUGGCGGUUCCUCCGUCUCUUUAUCUUCCCUUUUCUCAAAGUUGCAGAAACCUUAGGAUGAACAACUUCCUUUGCAGAUCUGAAACAAACAUGUAAGAGGUUUCUCGGGUUAUUAUGGAGUGUUUCUUGAAGCUUUAUUAUCAAUCUGAGAGUCCGUAUACUUGGGAUUCUGCUUUGACUCGGUUACUAUGAAGAGAGGUAGUUAUACGAAUUAUUUCUAGCUAUUCAUAAAAUAAUAUUUUGCUGGCUAUUUUGAUUUUUAGGAUGAAUAACAAAACCUAUUGGAUGCUUGAGGGAAGAGUGUUAGUCCAGAAAUUCAGUGACACUUGUUCACAACGGGUGCUAGUAAGUCGAAUCAUAUUUGUGUGAAGAAGUGAUUUUGAGUUGACCAUUGGAUGCACGAAUCUCCUCGUUCAGUGAUUUUACAGUUGGAUAGUGUUGAAACUUGGAUGCACGAAUCAUCCUAUUUGUAUUAAAGGGUUUAUAUUGGUCAAGCAAUGUAGUCAUCAAAAUACAACAAGAUAUUCAAUGAACGAGGAGAUUCAAAGCCAUAAGUUAUUCCAAUUUACAAGAAUUUGUGGAGCUUCCUAAACCUGAUAAGUCAUUUGAGUAUUUACAAAUUGAAGGAAGGAGAGCAUCAUUCACUAUUAUCCUCACAACAUGAAAUCUACACAAGAGCAAGGUUCUACAAAUGCACACUGAGGUUCAGAGAAGACUCAAAUGAGCAAACUUGAGGUCCUGUGUUAUAUAUAUUUUCUACUUGAUUGGUAUGGCUUUGUAUGCCCUUUGCAAAUCAUUACUCUUGAUUUGUUGGUGAUUUUUGAUGAAGCAACAUCUGAUAAAUUGGAGUAUGUUCUUAGAGAAAAUAGGGAGGCUUCCAUGCUAUACUAGGUCUCUUCAAUAGUUGAUUAGUUAAUUAGAUGUUGAAUUAGAAGUUGGACUGUUUUUAUCUUUUAUUUUAUUUUAGUGUACUUGGCUAGUUUUGUCAAAGGUGUGAAAUAUCUGUGUAAGAAAAUUUAGUAUUUUAUAUUUUUUACCAAUUUAUAAUUAAUAUAAA